UAAGCAACACACCUUGCUGACCUCUGGAGACAUCCCUUGCUUUCUCCACGCCUCCACUCCAUUCGAUUCCUCUUUUCCUCCCUUUUCUGCCUCCCUUUCCUACAAAAAGCACAGGUCCCUUAUUGCUUCUCCAUCUGCCCAUCCCCUGCUUCGAACCAGAGCAGAGCUCCCCUGUCUCUUGGCCAACUGCUGCUCCUUCUGUUUCCACACGAGAACCCGUGCAGCAUAGCAGCGGCAGCAGCAAUAUCGGCCGCGGCGGCGGCGGCACCGGUGGGGGCGCCGAGUACAUGGCACCGAUGGCAUGAUGCUGGCACUUACGACAAGAGGACAAAGACCGGCGGCCCCAAUGGCUCCAUCAGGUUCCCGCAGGAAUACAGCCACGCUGCAAAUGCAGGGAUCAAGAUUGCUAUUGACCUUCUCGGUCAGUCGCAUGGCCUAAGGAUCCAUUGAAGUUUGAUAACUCUUAUUUCGUGUAAGCCUUAUUCUAAAGCUGACUUGUUCAACAACAAACUAGGCACAAGAUUGCUUAAUUCUGGAAGAUCCUGAACUCGGUCGCUACAUUGAAAUAUAUGCAAAGGUGCAUAACAAUUCAGUUGGACCUUCCAUUAAUGAUGAAACUGCUCCUGAAAGAGAAAUAAUUGCUUUCUGUGAACCUGAA
Panicum virgatum (switchgrass) is the source of this 658-nucleotide long non-coding RNA. RefSeq lists it as uncharacterized. The transcript has 2 exons. NCBI's taxonomy places the organism in Eukaryota, Viridiplantae, Streptophyta, Magnoliopsida, Poales, Poaceae. The record is from RefSeq and is a predicted model, not a curated record.